RNAcentral lists this ribosomal RNA (253 nucleotides) under uncultured bacterium. Its description in RNAcentral is "partial 16S ribosomal RNA". It matches the Rfam family "Bacterial small subunit ribosomal RNA", at positions 524 to 776 of the family's 1533-position model. The record is from RNAcentral.
GACGAACCGUGCAAACGUUGUUCGGAAUCACUGGGCUUAAAGGGCGCGUAGGCGGGCAGUCAAGUCCGGGGUGAAAUCUUUCGGCUUAACCGGAAAAGGGCCUUGGAUACUGGCUGUCUAGAGGGAGGUAGGGGCAUGUGGAACUUCCGGUGGAGCGGUGAAAUGCGUUGAUAUCGGAAGGAACGCCGGUGGCGAAAGCGACGUGCUGGAUCUCUACUGACGCUGAGGCGCGAAAGCCAGGGGAGCGAACGGG